GGGUCGUUAGCUCAGCCGGUAGAGCAUCUGACUUUUAAUCAGGUGGUCAUGCGUUCGAAUCGCAUACGACCCA
This 73-nucleotide transfer RNA is filed under the name Thiothrix eikelboomii. It matches the Rfam family "tRNA". Rfam says of the family: Transfer RNA (tRNA) molecules are approximately 80 nucleotides in length. Their secondary structure includes four short double-helical elements and three loops (D, anti-codon, and T loops). Further hydrogen bonds mediate the characteristic L-shaped molecular structure. tRNAs have two regions of fundamental functional importance: the anti-codon, which is responsible for specific mRNA codon recognition, and the 3' end, to which the tRNAs corresponding amino acid is attached (by aminoacyl-tRNA synthetases). tRNAs cope with the degeneracy of the genetic code in two manners: having more than one tRNA (with a specific anti-codon) for a particular amino acid; and 'wobble' base-pairing, i.e. permitting non-standard base-pairing at the 3rd anti-codon position. Lineage: Bacteria; Pseudomonadati; Pseudomonadota; Gammaproteobacteria; Thiotrichales; Thiotrichaceae. The record is from Rfam by way of RNAcentral.